This 729-nucleotide ribosomal RNA is filed under the name Bacillus sp. (in: firmicutes). RNAcentral's name for it is "bacterial SSU rRNA". It matches the Rfam family "Bacterial small subunit ribosomal RNA", at positions 56 to 768 of the family's 1533-position model. The record is from RNAcentral. Lineage: Bacteria; Bacillati; Bacillota; Bacilli; Caryophanales; Bacillaceae.
UGCAGUCGAGCGGACAGAUGGGAGCUUGCUCCCUGAUGUUAGCGGCGGACGGGUGAGUAACACGUGGGUAACCUGCCUGUAAGACUGGGAUAACUCCGGGAAACCGGGGCUAAUACCGGAUGGUUGUUUGAACCGCAUGGUUCAGACAUAAAAGGUGGCUUCGGCUACCACUUACAGAUGGACCCGCGGCGCAUUAGCUAGUUGGUGAGGUAACGGCUCACCAAGGCGACGAUGCGUAGCCGACCUGAGAGGGUGAUCGGCCACACUGGGACUGAGACACGGCCCAGACUCCUACGGGAGGCAGCAGUAGGGAAUCUUCCGCAAUGGACGAAAGUCUGACGGAGCAACGCCGCGUGAGUGAUGAAGGUUUUCGGAUCGUAAAGCUCUGUUGUUAGGGAAGAACAAGUGCCGUUCAAAUAGGGCGGCACCUUGACGGUACCUAACCAGAAAGCCACGGCUAACUACGUGCCAGCAGCCGCGGUAAUACGUAGGUGGCAAGCGUUGUCCGGAAUUAUUGGGCGUAAAGGGCUCGCAGGCGGUUUCUUAAGUCUGAUGUGAAAGCCCCCGGCUCAACCGGGGAGGGUCAUUGGAAACUGGGGAACUUGAGUGCAGAAGAGGAGAGUGGAAUUCCACGUGUAGCGGUGAAAUGCGUAGAGAUGUGGAGGAACACCAGUGGCGAAGGCGACUCUCUGGUCUGUAACUGACGCUGAGGAGCGAAAGCGUGGGGAG